GUCACGGCAAAAUCCGUGACCGGGUUUGACAUCCCGAUUCGAAGGCGGACACACCGCCACCACUGUUUUUCUGGCGGUUUUUUU
Molecule: small RNA, 84 nt
Filed under: Desulfobulbaceae bacterium BRH_c16a
Lineage: Bacteria; Pseudomonadati; Thermodesulfobacteriota; Desulfobulbia; Desulfobulbales; Desulfobulbaceae
Description: isrK
Source: RNAcentral